GACGAACGCUGGCGGCGUGCUUAACACAUGCAAGUCGAACGGAAAGGCCCUGCUUUUGUGGGGUGCUCGAGUGGCGAACGGGUGAGUAACACGUGAGUAACCUGCCCUUGACUUGGGGAUAACUUCAGGAAACUGGGGCUAAUACCGGAUAGGAGCUCCUGCUGCAUGGUGGGGGUUGGAAAGUUUCGGCGGUUGGGGAUGGACUCGCGGCUUAUCAGCUUGUUGGUGGGGUAGUGGCUUACCAAGGGAUUGACGGGUAGCCGGCCUGAGAGGGUGACCGGCCACAUUGGGACUGAGAUACGGCCCAGACUCCUACGGGAGGCAGCAGUGGGGAAUAUUGCACAAUGGGCGGAAGCCUGAUGCAGCAACGCCGCGUGCGGGAUGACGGCCUUCGGGUUGUAAACCGCUUUCGCCUGUGACGAAGCGUGAGUGACGGUAAUGGGUAAAGAAGCACCGGCUAACUACGUG
This 468-nucleotide ribosomal RNA is filed under the name uncultured bacterium. RNAcentral's name for it is "partial 16S ribosomal RNA". It matches the Rfam family "Bacterial small subunit ribosomal RNA", at positions 28 to 507 of the family's 1533-position model. The record is from RNAcentral.